AGUUAUGCAUUUGAUGGUCAAUUACAUUGUAUCAUACAGGAUGGCGAAUGGGCCCAGGGUCUAUAUAAUAUAUUUAUAUAUAAUAAAAGAAAACCGAUAAACUCAAUAACAUAUAUGGAAGUUUACAUGAAGGUAAGACAUCGUGCUUAUUACAAAGGGGAGUAAUUUUGAGUCUCAAGAUUGUCUCCCUUUAUUCGCUCCUCGUUGUGCAGUAUGCAAUGUUGAUGGGGUGGGUUGUGUCAUUAAGUGUGAUAUAUCUCUCCAUAUCGCAUGCAGUUAGUGUUUCUUCUAGUUUGUUUUUCGAUGUAGGUGUAUUGCUCGUGCAGGUGUCGGUGUCUAUACUGAUUAUACCCAGGACCACACACUUGAUCAUCAGAGCAGUGCUGGUCUUCCCAUCUCCUGGAGCUCCACAGAUGCUGACAUGGCCAUGCUGCUCAAGAAGCUGUUUGG
Haliotis rubra (blacklip abalone) is the source of this 450-nucleotide long non-coding RNA. RefSeq lists it as uncharacterized. The transcript has 3 exons. The record is from RefSeq and is a predicted model, not a curated record. NCBI's taxonomy places the organism in Eukaryota, Metazoa, Mollusca, Gastropoda, Lepetellida, Haliotidae.